This 26728-nucleotide long non-coding RNA is filed under the name Triticum aestivum (bread wheat). RNAcentral describes it as "long non-coding RNA (TAES_LNC013691)". The stretch from base 11568 to 11693 matches the Rfam family "MIR1120/MIR1122 microRNA precursor family". The record is from RNAcentral. Lineage: Eukaryota; Viridiplantae; Streptophyta; Magnoliopsida; Poales; Poaceae.
UCUUCAUGUACCCGAGCAGCAUCUAAAAGGUUAGAAUCGAUCCAUUGCUGGUUAUUUGUUUACCAUCCAAGCGUCAGUUCCAGAAUGUGUUAUUGCCUGAUGCACAAAUUUCUAGAUCGAAUUGUCAGUUAUUCAUGAUUCAUCCAUGUGUAUUUUGUUUAGUCAGUGUAAAAUCUUGAUUACACACUUGCAAUAUGUAAUAUGUGCUGGCAUUCUCUCUCGAGCAAAUUGCAUAGUGAAGUGGGAAAUGGGCACUACUUGUCUAUACUGAAUUUGGUCCCAUGUGUAAAUUUGUGUAUGGUGUAUGGAUAUUCCUGCUCCUAAACUAUUGCUGGACAUGUGACUUCACCUUGACCAACCAAGGAUUAGUCGCUUGGAAGUUGCAUAAAAGAUAACUGCAUUAUUUAGCACUUAGGCAUUUGCAAGUACUGUUAAUAAAUCAUUUUUUACUUGCUCUGAAUAAGAGAGAGGGACAGAUUGAUGGUAGGGAUGUGGAAUUGCUGGGUGUAUUUCUCGUACAUGAUCAAGAUUUUUAGUUCGAUGACAUUCUGUUGCCAUGAUAUCUUAUUUUGUGCAUAAUUAUGGUUCGAAAUUCUUCAUGUAAAUCUUGAUUCACAGCCUUCUGUUUGAUCCCCUGCUAAUUUUAUACGUCGCAUCGAAUGCAGGUUAUUUUGAAGUGUGGAGGAUUUCGCUCGUCCCUUAGGUUUCAUUUCAGAGUCUUGUAAGAUGGAUUCAGGCCUGGAUAGCAAGUUCAACUGCUGUUUCCCUGUGAAGAACUGUAGUCUUCAUGUUAUCUUGAAUGUGUGGGUCGCACAUUAUAUGAUGUUAUAUGUAGUUCGAACCUGAUGCUAUGUUUUGCCCACUUUUUGCGUUCUAUCCUUGCAAUUUUAGCUAUCAAAUCUGAUUCAGAGAUGUUUUUACUCCUCUUUUAUGCAUGUUUAUAUGCCCUUUUGAUGAUUGGUGGAAGUGGUUUAAUUGGCUUGGCACUGACGAGCGCGAGAACUUGUUCGUUUGGGAAGAUUAAAAUGCCUUUUAUGGAAAUUGUUGAACGCCACUGUAUGUUAGACUAACGAGUCUCAUGUACUUUGUGCUUAUCGUCUCCCCGAAGAUUAGCUGUUAGCUAGCCUCUAGGAGGUUGUCAGCACGUUUCCAUGCCCCCUGUGCAUGUAUUUUUAGCCCCUGGCAAGAAACUAGGAUUUCUGGAAAAACUGUAUCUGGUAACCAUUUGGUGUUUAUACAACAACAGCAACAAAGCCUUUAGUCCCAAACAAGUUGGUGUAGGCUAGGUGAAACCCAUAAGAUUCAGCAACCAAUUCAUGGCUUUGGCACAUGGAUAGUAAGCUUUCAUGCACCCUUGUCCAUAGCUAGCUCUUUGGUGAUACUUCAAUCCUUCAGGUCUCUCAUAACGGACCCCUCUCAUAUCAAAUUCGGUCUACCCCGCCCUCUCUUGACAUUCUUCGCACGCUUUAGCCGUUCGCUAUGCACUGGAGGCCUGCGCUGAAUAUGCGGUCCUUCCUCGUGUGGCCACGCAUCCAUCUCAACAUACGCAUCUCCGCCACACCUAACUGUUGAAAAUGUCGCCUUUUAGUCGGCUAACACUCAACGCCAUACAACAUUGCAGGUCGAACCGUCGUCCUGUAGAACUUGCCUUUUAGCUUUUGUGUCACAGAGAAUGCCAGAAGUUUGGCGCCACUUUAUCCAUCCGGCUUUGAUUCGAUGGUUCACUACUUCAUCAAUACCCCCAUCCUCCUGCAACAUUGAACCCAAAUAUCGAAAGGUGUCCUUCUGAGGUACCACUUGGCCAUCAAGGCUAACCUCCUCCUCCUCACACCUAGUAGUACUGAAACCGCACAUCAUGUACUCGGUUUUAGUGCUACUAAGCCUAAACCCUUUUGAUUUCAAGGUUUGUCUCCAUAACUCUAACUUCAUAUUUACUCCCGUCUAACUAUCGUCAACUAUCCACAAAGAGCAUACACCAUGGGAUAUCUCCUUGUAUAUCCCUCGUGGCCUCAUCCAUCAUCAAUGUAAAAAGAUAAGGGCUCAAAGCUGACCCCUAAUGCAGUCCUAUCUUAAUCGGGAAGUCAUCAGUGUCGACAUCACUUGUUCGAACACUUGUCACAACAUUAUCGUACAUGUCCUUGAUGAGGGUAAUGUACUUUGCUGGGACUUUGUGUUUCUCCAAGGCCCACCAGAUGACAUUUCGCGGUAUCUUAUCAUAGACCUUCUCUAAGUCAAUGAACACCACAUGCAAGUCCUUCUUUUGCUCCCUAUGUCUCUCCAUAAGUUGUCGUACCAAGAAAAUGGCUUCCAUGGUCGACCUCCCAGGCAUGAAACCAAACUGAUUUUUGGUCACGCUUGUCAUUCUUCUUAAGCUGUGCUCAAUGACUCUUUCCCAUAGCUUCAUUGUAUGGCUCGUCAUCUUAAUUCCACGGUAAUUAAUACAACUUUGAACAUCCCCCUUGUUCUUGAAGAUUGGUACUAAUAUACUCCGUCUUCAUUCUUCUUGCAUCUUGUUUGCCCGAAAAAUGAGGUUGAAAAGCUUGGUUAGCCAUACUAUCGCUAUGUCCCCGAGACCUUUCCACACAUCAAUGGGGAUACAAUCAGGGUCCAUCGCCUUGCCUCCUUUCAUCCUUUUUAAAGCCUCCUUGACCUCAGACUCCUGGAUUCGCCGCACAAAACGCACGCUGGUCUCAUCAAAGGAGUCGUCCAGUUCAAUGGUAGAACUCUCAUUCUCCCCAUUGAACAGCUCGUCGAAGUACUCCCGCCAUUUAUGCCUAAUCUCCUCGUCCUUCACCAAGAGUUGGUCUGCUCCGUCCUUGAUGCAUUUGACUUGGCCAAUAUCCCUCGUGUUCCUCUCUCGGAUCUUGGCCAUCUUAUAGAUGUCCCUUUUGCCUUCCUUCGUGCCUAACCGUUGGUAGUGGUCCUCAUAUGCCCGACCCCUUGCUUCACUAACAGCUCGCUUUGCGGCCUUCUUCGCCAUCUUGUACUUCUCUAUGUUGUAUGCACUCCUAUCCAGGUAUAGGCGUCUGGAGCAAUCUUUCUUCUCUUUAAUCGCCUUCUGGACAUCAUCAUUCCACCAUCAGGUAUCCUUAUCUUCGCUUCUCCUUCCCCUGGACACUCCAAACUCCUCCGAGGCCACCUUACAAAUGCAAGUCGCCAUCUUCAUCCACACAUUGUCCGCAUCCCCUCCUUCCUCCCAAGGGACAUCCUUAAUGACCCUCUCCUUGAACGCCUGAGCUACCUCCCCCUUGAGCUUCCACCACUUCGUUCUAGCGACUUUGGCACGCUUAUCCCGCUGGACACGAAUCCGAAAGCGGAAGUCAGCAACCACCAGCUUAUGUUGGGGUACAACACUCUCUCCAGGUAUCACCUUACAGUCUAGGCACGCACGCCUAUCUUCUCUUCUCGAGAGGAUGAAAUCAAUCUGGCUAGAGUGUUGGCCACUACUAGAAGUCACCAUAUGUUAUUCUCUCUUUCUAAGGAGGGUGUUAGCUACAAUCAUGUCGUAGGCUAGAGCAAAACUUAAGACAUCUUCUCCUUCUUGAUUCCUGAUGCCAUAGCCAAAGCCCCCAUGCGCCCCUUCAAAACCUGUGUUAGAUGUACCCACGUGGCCAUUGAGGUCUCCUUCUAUGAAGAGAUUCUCACCAAUCGGUACACUCCUAACCAUGUCUUUCAGGCCUUCCCAGAACUCUCUCUUGGUUUUCUCAUUGUGGCCUACUUGCGGGGCAUACACGCUGAUAACAUUGAGAACCAAGUCCUCAACUACCAGCUUGACCAGGUUAAUCCGGUCCCCACGUCUCUUGACGUCUACCACUCAUACUUGAGGCUCUUGUUGAUCAAGAUGCCUAUGCCAUUUCUGUUUGCAGCCGUCCCCCUUGAAGCGGUAUCCUCCACCUCCUUCGCUUUCUGUCCUCUCCAUUUGGUUUCUUGGACGCAAAGAAUAUCAACACCUUUUCCUCACCGCUGCAUCAACUAGCUCUAGAAGCUUCCCUGUCAGAGACCCUACGUUCCAGCUACCUAAACGAAUCCUCCUAGGCUCGGCUAGUUUUCUUACCCUUCGCACUCGUCGAGUCAAAUGCGAAGACCCUUGCUCAUUUUCCACUACAUCCGGGCGCCGAUGUAGCGCGCCACUAAGGAUGCGACGACCCGAUCCUCGCUCACUUGCCACCGUACCCAGAUCAAGAUAUGGCGCGCCACCUGGGAGGUGACGGCCCGGCGCUUGCCCAUUUGCCACCACACCCGAGUUCCGAUGUGGCGCGUCGCUGAGAGGGUUACGCCCCAACGAAAAUCUUUUGGGUUUCAUCUCCAUAAGAGUGGCUGAGUUUUUACGUUGGCUCGCCAAGCCUAUCACAACCCUCCUCCUUUACCCGGGCUUGGGACCGGCUAUGUUGAGACAACAUAGACAGAGUUAACAUGGGCGGUGUUUAUACAUAAUAAUAUAAAAAUACGUGCAUUGUGGUUCCAAAGAUCUGCAACAAGGCUUUAUCCAAUGGUGUUGGCUGGUUACAUAUUUUUUAAUUCUAAAAAGGCGUGUGCAUUUCUAUAUCUUUACGAACUUAACAUGGUAUAAAAUCAUAUGUUAACGUAUAUGCGCAUACACUCACCCCUAUGAAUGCAACGCACUCAUCCCUAUGAAUCUCAAUAUCUUGAGAUUGAUGAAGUCAUCAUAGUCGAUGUGACUCUCACCAAACGAACAUCGCCGGAAAGGUUGAAAUAAAUCUAGAAACAUGGACUGUGUUUUUAGCAAAUUAUGUGUCAAAGUUAUUUAAAAUUCGCAUCUCUAACUUAAUUCAAAUGCUUUGCCAUGAUUUUUGCAACCAAACUGCAUAAUAUAUAUAUAUAAUCUACAUAAGUUGGGCUAAUCUCACUUUCUUAAAGCCGCAUAACCGCCCCUGAGGUAUCGUAGAGCAUGUUGUGGAUGGGUCACACUCCUUGCAAGGCAAGCCAUUGAAUUGUCACUUUAGAGCAUCUCCAACAGACGCCCAAUAUUAGCGUCGUGUCCAAAAAUUCACAAGUUUAGCGCGCGCGGAGUUGAAAAUAGCACUCCAGCGGACGCUGCAUAAUAGAGCACGCUGUAAAAAGUGUUCAGCGCGCCGGACGAAACUGAAUCGCAAGUCGUAUAUUUAGCGCAUGAGCUCCAACGCGCUGAACUUCUCACGUGCGCCACAGCCGCUGUUGGCCUCCUCGCGUGCGCCCCCGCCGGCCUCCUCGCAUGUGCGCGCCAGCCGGCCACGGGCGGGGCGGACCGCGGCCACGGCCACCGCGUCGGCGGNNNNNNNNNNNNNNNNNNNNNNNNNNNNNNNNNNNNNNNNNNNNNNNNNNNNNNNNNNNNNNNNNNNNNNNNNNNNNNNNNNNNNNNNNNNNNNNNNNNNNNNNNNNNNNNNNNNNNNNNNNNNNNNNNNNNNNNNNNNNNNNNNNNNNNNNNNNNNNNNNNNNNNNNNNNNNNNNNNNNNNNNNNNNNNNNNNNNNNNNNNNNNNNNNNNNNNNNNNNNNNNNNNNNNNNNNNNNNNNNNNNNNNNNNNNNNNNNNNNNNNNNNNNNNNNNNNNNNNNNNNNNNNNNNNNNNNNNNNNNNNNNNNNNNNNNNNNNNNNNNNNNNNNNNNNNNNNNNNNNNNNNNNNNNNNNNNNNNNNNNNNNNNNNNNNNNNNNNNNNNNNNNNGGCCACGGGUGGCGCGGCCACCACGGGGCGGAGCGCGGCCACGGCAUGACGAGGCGAGCAGGCCACAGCGGGGCGGAGCGCGGCCAGGGCCACGGGCGGCGGGGAAUGGCCAUGACCAUGGCGGCAAGCAGGCCACGGGCGGCGAGCUAGGUACAGGCGCGCGUGGUUAAUUUUGGGCGCCUGUUGAAGAUGCUACUGUUGCUAAUUGGGCAGUAUAUUUCUGGGCGUCUACUGAAGAUACUCGGUCAUCCGGCGCUAAAACGCUAUUUUGACGCUGUAAAAAAAAUUAGCGCGCGACUACGUAGGACGUGUGUUGGAGAUGCUCUUAUCAUCAUCAAGUACCACCACUGCCAGUGCGUGAUAACCCACUUGAACUAUAACCGACUAUCCGUUCGGACAAAACACCAAAUGCGCCUAUUCUAUGAACAUCACACUUACACAAACAUUCCUGAAGAAUAUUAACUCGAGUAUGCAAAAGAGGAUUCUAUAUACAAUCGGCUUUCGACACCUAAGAGCAACUUCAAUGGGGGACCUAUUUCGUCCGCGGCCGUCCGUUUGGGUUGGCUCGGACAGAAAAGUCGGCCCAACGCGCCGACCCAAACAGACACGCGUCCGCUUUUGUCCGCCUGCCGACCCAUUCCUGGCCCAUUUUUGAGCCAGAUUUGCAUCGGCGCGGACACAAGACGGACGCGCGCGCUCGCCCUCUUUUCUCACCGGGCCCGUUGGUCGGUGGCACAUUGGACUGGCCUCUCCACAUCAAAUAGCACACCAUCGUCCGCCUGCUUCGUCGCCGACGACGCCGGCCAUUUUUCCCGAUAAAAAGAUAGUUCUAGCGUACACAGAUAAAAGAAAAGACCAACUACUCGUCGCUUUCCGACUUCGACUCGGUAAUGUCCUCCUCCGACGUCUGAAUAUAGGCGUCAGCAUGCUGCUCGUCUUCGAAGUCCCAACCCGACGUUUCUCGUAACUUCAGUUUCAAUUGAGCGGCCUGCUUCCGCGAACGCUUGUCCUCCCGAUAGGCGGCUCGCUCCGUUCUCCUCGCGUCCCUCUCCAACCUCCUUUGCUUGUAGAACUGGCGCUCGUCGGCGAUGUCCUGCGGGAAGCGUUCGCGCCACACCACCAUGGCUUCCACGUACAUCUCGGCGAUGACGAGGCGACGCUGCCGCCUCCGGUGGACACGACGAUCCUCGUCGGUAAAAAGCCGCGGGAGAGGCGCGAGAUCCUGCGCCCGCUGGCUCGACACGUCGGGAAAAUUCAUCUCCCGACGAGGCCUCAGGAGGCGCCACGCCGCCGCGUCGUGCGCGCGGGCCGCCUCCUCUGUGGUGUCGAAGGUGCCGAGGAUGAGGCGUUUCUCGCAAAACCAGAUCUCGGAGGAGAAGCCGCCGGAGCGGCGCUCGCGGACUCCGGAAAAUCCGAAGCACCCAGGCAGCGCAUCGACAUGGUGGCGCAGAGGCGGUGAGGCUAGUGAGAGGGGGGCGAGAUGAGUGGGCGGCGGACAGAGUGUGGAUGAGGCGCCUUCUUAUAACGAGCGCCGGCCGCGGCGCGCGCGCGAACCUUUCCCGCGCGCUGGAGCGCCAAAACCAGCAUGCGCUACGCCGCUUUUCCCCGCGCGCGCGAACCUUUCCCGCGCGCUGGAGCGCCAAAACCAAGGCGACAGCAUGGCCGCUGGCAUGAUCUAAAGCGCGCACGGUCAUGAAAUGGGUCGCCCGUUGGGCGCACUGCCGACCCAAAAUUAAAACAGGGCGGACGGUGGGCGGGCGGCCGACCCAAACGGACAAAAAGCGGACAAAAACGCCAUCCGUUUGAGUCGGCCCGUUGGAGUUGCUCUAAACAUACUAGAGUUCCUCCAUAUCCUUGAAAACUAGAGGUAGUACUUGGGCAUAGAGACGGCAAACAUCACAAAAAUAAUAAUGGUAAACAUGGAUGAACGAUUAAAGCAAUACACAUAAGCAAACGGCCUUUCAUUGUUAGUGUUUCUCGUGCCGCCGCCGUCGUCAUCGGAGAAAUUUAGGUUCCCUCGCCUCCAGCUGCCAUCUUAGCCCUGAGAGGUGGGGGAGACCUCGGAUCUUCAAGAUAUUUAUGUCCUUCGCCAUUGUCUAGUGAUUAUUAUAGUUUUGUGAGAAUAAAUUUCAUCUCGUUCUUUUGACGGUGCCAUGAGAUUAAAGAGUUUUCUGUCCUCGCAGAUCCAAUUAUUCAGAUCUGAUGAGUUUAUGUUGCUGUGUCAAGCCUUUUUUGUUGGUCUAGUUCUUUGUGGAGGUGAAAUCUUUCAUCGACAUCAUGGUGAAGAUACAGUGAUUCGACGACCUGCAUUUCUAGGGGAUCAUCCCUGUCCCAAGUAGGUUCAUCGAUCAAGGCUUCCCAUCUUUUUGGAUGGGCGACUCAAGGCGCUUUCAAAAACCAUUAUUGGUAGUGUCCGUGUGGGUGAAGGAGUGACAACCUCGUUGUUCCAGUCCAAUUGCAGCCUCUUUACCGAAGUCUUUGGAGUAUUUCUUCGAGCAGAGAUUGGCGCCGUGAAGAAGGUCUUUUUAAGAGAUUUCAUUAUAAUCCUUAGUUAGGAGUUACUUUGUAUUUUCUUGAAUGUUAGGUCCAAAUCAGUGUACUUGUAAUUGUUUUGAGUAUGAAUAAAGUUACACGUGUUUCUAUUCUAAAAAUAAGUAAUACCCAUAGCUUUUCACCCAGGGUCCGACAUUACAAAGAGAUGAAUAGGAGAUGGUGAUGGUGAUGGUUGAUGCCGAAAUCUCCAUAACUCCGAUUUGUGUCGAAUCCGCCGUGGUGAAAUAGUCGGUCCGCGGAGGCGAAACUACCUAGUACGAGCUAUGGUACGAGCGGUCGCGCUCGUACCAAGCGUUGUCUUUCUCUCCUGGAUGCCACUUCUCUUUAUGAUAGGUUUCCAUCACGUCAAAUAACAUUGAUUUUCACCCACAUAUCAGUGUUCUCUCUAAUGUUUUAGAUCCCGUCGUUGGUUAAGAUCACGAUGAAAUCAAUCAAAAGGGUGUGCGCACGAGGUAAAAAAAUCUGACAAUCCUACGACUACAACAUAGAAACUAAAGGUAAACACUAAUGCAAAUUUAGACUCAUCAUGCGCAUUCGGAGGCCUCCCACGCUCCCCAACUGGGAGGUCACGGCGAUAGGAGCCCACCCCCCGGGUCGUCGAGGGGACGCCACUAGUAGAUUCAUGCUCUCUAUGCAUGGAUGCAACCGAGUCUGAGGGCCCAGGGGGCUCAUGUCCUGCCUGAGCAUGAGUCAACGCGAGGGUACCUUCAGAGAUCUCCUUAGCCCCGAUGACCGCAAUAUGUUCCAAGCAAGGUCCACACUCGUCCUGGAACACCAUCACACCGUAUGUGGCGAGAUCAGACAAGUGCUUUAGGGGAAUCGUUUGAGGAUCGAGAACCCAAAACCCGAAUGGCGAGGGAAGGGAGGGGAAGUACCUUUUUUUUUAGGUGAAGGAGGGGAAGUACCUGAAUCGAGGUUGUAGACUGUGGCCUCUCGGGCCACUACCGCCAGGCCACAAGUAACAUAGUAUUUUUUCCGAGUCGCAUGAGUAACAUUGUUGCGAGAGAAGUAAUAGCUAUUUUUUUAAUACAGUAUAUGGCAUUGCAUCCGAAAAAGAAUACAAAAGGUGUAGUAAAGCCUUAUGUUUCUAAAUUCUGUUUUUGUGUGCCGAAACUGCAAAGUUCCCGCCAGCCACGGAGAAAAUUUCGUGUUGCCCACCAUCUCGCCCACGUCAUCGAUCCGAGGCACCGGCCUCUCCACCAAUCAGCGCGCACCUCCUCCCCGCUAUAUACUUCCUCCGCCCCCGCAUCCAUUCGCAUCAGCAAUUCCCCACCUCCCAGCGAAACACCCCCGCUCCCUCUCCCACCUCCGAAGCAGCAGCAGCCAUGGCCCCCAAGGCAGACAAGAAGCCGGCCGCCGAGAGCAAGGUCGAGAAGGCGGCGGAGAAGACCCCGGCAGGCAAGAAGCCCAAGGCCGAGAAGCGGGUGCCGGCGGGCAAGACGGCGGCCAAGGAGGGCGCCGGCGGCGAGGGCAAGACUCGGGGCCGGAAGAAGGGCAGCAAGGCCAAGAAGGGCGUGGAGACGUACAAGAUCUACAUCUUCAAGGUGCUGAAGCAGGUGCACCCGGACGUGGGCAUCUCCUCCAAGGCCAUGUCCAUCAUGAACUCCUUCAUCAACGACAUCUUCGAGAAGCUCGCCGGGGAGUCGGCCAAGCUGGCGAGGUACAACAAGAAGCCCACCAUCACCUCCCGGGAGAUCCAGACCUCCGUCCGCCUCGUCCUCCCCGGCGAGCUCGCCAAGCACGCCGUCUCCGAGGGCACCAAGGCCGUCACCAAGUUCACCUCCUCCUAGGCUGAAUCUGAAUGCGUCGCCUUGUUGUAGUUGGCUGCUGUUGACUCUGCUUAUCUCUCUCAAGUAGUGGUAGUAGUAGUUGUGCACUAGAUGAUUGCCAACGCUUUGUUGGAUCCUUGGUUGUUGCUUUUGCAAGCUGAUAUCUAUGUAGAAUGUGGAAGUUGUGGUUGUGUAUCCGUAUCCACAGUGAUGAUUUGACAGAUGUUGGCUUUUCUACUCUUCUGAACUGAACGCAGCCAUGCCUGGCCAAUUUGCAUUUUGUCUGCGAGUUCUAGUGCUGAUUGAUCGGAAUGCAAACUGAGAUGCGAUUUAGACUAAUGAUGCAUUGAUGCUGUUUGUGAUUUCUUCAGUCUGUGAUUUUAUUUAGAAGAACAGCAAUUGCUUGCACUAAUCUCUGCCGUGUGUUUCUGCUUUCGUACGGUAGUAAGUUCAGUCUGCAGACCCCUGAUCCUCCAUCAGCAGGUUCCGUUUCUGCACGAGAUCGAGAAAACCAGUGUUCAGUGGAACAUGGCAAUGCAGAAUUGAGUCUUGUUCUUGUUUUGGCACCCCAGUAAUUAGCAUCGCUGAUGCAUUACUCUGCGAUUAGUGUCAGUCAAUUGGCAAACCAGUCUGCAGCAGCUUGGCUUCGCUGUUUUAUUGCCUCGCUCUUCAUUGAAGAAAACUUACAUGCCUUCUACGCACAUUUUGUGUGCCAUGGAACGGAAGGUAUGCUCUUGUCCUGUGGCCGGAGCUUCAGUCUUGGCAGCAUCGUGUGCUGAAAAUAGGAAAUGAGUUAUCCACAAUCAGUCGAAGGAUUAGAAACUUUUGUGACUUACGACGGCAGUAUUUUUUGCGUCUGUAUGACUAUCUGUGCUGUUCUGUAAUACCACUAGCCAUUAGUACGCACAAGGUAGAAGCAGUGGCGUAGCCACAGGGUGGCCAGGGUGGUCCAUGGACCACCCUGGGAUUUGGCCCACCAUCAGCCCAUGAGUAAUAUUUUUUAGCAUUCAGAGAGAGAGAGAGAGAGAGAGAGAGAGAGAGAGAGAGAGAGAGAAAACAUAGGCCAGCUACGGGAGCCACAUUACCAUUUCCAAGUACUUGCACAAGGCUAAUCUGCCUGCUGAUCGUUCUCAACUUCCGUUCCUGACUAAAUAUAUGGAGAUGCAACUUAUUCUGAGCUUCGACGCUCCUGAUUCCUCCUGAAUGGCUACAGCUAGCUAGCAGAGACAACAUGGCACGGGGCAACGCAGGCGGCCGGCAGCAUGCUGCAGGUAGAGGGGUUGGUUUCCCGGUGUUGUGUGGCAUCCGGCAGUAGAAGGCAGGGUGUCGGGGUGUGUGUCNNNNNNNNNNGGGGGGGGCUUGAGCCGCUGAACAAGUGCACCGACCGACCGAUGUCAACACAUCUAUUCUUUUUAAGUUCUCAUCUCUUUCCAGGUAUGUUCUCAAUUUUUCCUUUCAUGGUUUGAAUAAGCUUAACUGAGAGUGCAAAUCUCAACCUUUUUUUGCUUUCUGGGUUUGUCUAUAUUAAUGCUUGAACUGGAAAUUGAUUAUAAUAGAUUCACUCUGAUUGAGAGUUUCACUGAUUAAAAGAUACUCCCUCCGUACGAAAAAGUUUGUCCCAAGUUUGUCCCUCAAAUAGAUGUAUCUAUCACUAACUUGUUGCUAGAUACAUCUAUUUGAGGGACAAGUUUUUUUGGACGGAGCGAGUAUUAUAGAAAUGUUGCAAAAAGAAGAGGGUUGGAGACAUUGCAUCCUUUUAUUGAUUUGUGCUUUUGAUAAAUUCUAUAUUCAAAAGAUAGCAUGUUGUGUUCUUGUCCAAAAAAUUGUGUCAGUUGGACCACCCUGGAUCGAAAUCCUGGCUACGCCACUGGGUAGAAGAGAUCUUUGGAGUGGGACAUGUGGAGCGAGCCAUGGUUCUUGAAGAUGCAUGCGAUUUUGCUGCAUUGAAGCAACUGAAAGAAAGUGACACACAGCUGAAGUGGCAAUGGAAUGGCGUCAGCGUAUGAAACGUUUCUAGGGUUUGGGUUCAGCUUAUUCCACGUGCUGGGUGAUGCUACUCCCUUGAACUAAAACCAUGACGAGUAAUUUGGAACGAAGGGAGUAGUUUACAAAGUACUGUACGAUACUAUGUACAAGCAAUGCCUUGCAAAAUAUGUCCCUCAAAUGUUCCGAUUCACAUACUAGUAAAUGGUAAUGACUUCGUUUUUGACGAGCUACUUUGGAGGUCCAAAAAGUUUCGGAUCAACAAUGGAGUCGUGUUGAGUUCGGAUGAAGAUGUGAUCCGUCCGUUUUUCCUUCGGUGACCGUUAUGAUGGUGUUGGAGAAGGGUGACGGAAGCUGGCAUCAUGCUCAAGAGAUUUUUCGGUCUUGCUUGUAAUUUCCUUUUUGGGUCAGUGUCUAUGUGACUUAUACUUUAUUCUUCGGUAACCGCCUUAUCCUCUGAUGCUGGUCGGGUAAACAUUUUUUGAAUUAUAAAAAUGUGUGCACAUUUCUUUAUCUUAGAUUGCACAUUUUUUUGUGCAACUUUAGUACUUUCAAUAUUCAAGUCGGCCGAAAUCAAACCGGGAGGUUUUCUUUUGUGGGAAUGCCAAAGUAGGUUAAGCUACAUUUUUUAGCAAACAACUAACUUUCUUAAUAAUUAAUCAAAGUUCUUCAAAAGUCACAUCUUUAACUGAAGUCAAAUGAAUGUCAAAAUUGUAUAAGCUGGGCUAACCUUAACUUUUUUUUGAAAAGCUGCAUAGACACCCAUGAGGUAUCUAGAGCAUGUGUGUGGUUGGGGUCACACCCCUUGCAAGGCAAGCCAUUGAGUUGUCACUUGAGCACUAUCAUCAUCACACCACCAUCACUACCACCACCGCCCUGAUGAUAAUCCAAUUGAACUAGAGCCGACUAUCUGUCCAAACAAAACACCAAAUGCUUCUUGGUUUCGGGUGCAUGGUCUAUGAAUGCCACACCAUGGCAAAAAAUAUAGCCGCACAAUAUUUAUUAUAAUGUCAUCGCGAAAAACAAACCUAAAUGAAACAACCUAAAAACAUAACUAUGACAUUGAUCUGUAGUUCUCCCACUCUCGGCUUGUGACAGAAAAACCGGGAGAAAAGCUUUUUUUAGGAGUGAAGAGAGAAAUUUGGCAGAGUAACAAAAAAAAUGGAGCUUUCCGUCGGGUGGCCAAAGUUUUUUCUAGCCUUGGUGGCUGAAGGUUAACUGGGUGGGCCAGGUGGCAAAUCACGACUACACACAAAUAGGUUUGCCACAUGGGCUUCAGUAACUGUUGGGCAAUAUAUUCUGUGGGCUCAGGCCAUGGCCGCGGAAGUGCAUACAACCCAGGCUCUAGUUUGCCUAAAAAGUACCCAGGCCCCGCUUGGGAGACCUGGAAAAUAUACCCCUGUAAAUAUUUCUACAUUUGUAUUUUACUUGUCACCAAUGGAAGGGGGGGACCUAUUUGGCGCGCGGGUCACCGGUUAGCAACCGCACGCGUACCCCCCUCAUGCGUGCGUUUUUGUAUGGGCCGUCCAUUUAUGGGUUUCAUCACCUGUUUUGAAAAGGUUCAAGGUUCUAGAACCUUCCCCGAACCUUUUUUGUUUUUAAUUUUUUCUUUCUGUUUUAUCUUUCCUUUUCUUCCAUGUUUAUUUUCCUGUUUUAUUUUUAUUUUUUCUUUUGUUUUAUAUUAUAUUUUAUUUUUUUCUAAUAUUUUAAAUUCGUGAACACUUUUUAAAUUCAUUUUUUUGAAAUCAUAAUUUUUUUAAAUUCACAAACAAUUUUUACAAAUUCGUGAACUUUCUCUUAAAUCAUGAAAUUUUUUACAAUUCGUCUAUAUAUUUUGAAUCAUGAACAUUUUUUAAAGUCAUGAGCAUUUCUUAAGUUGGUGCACAUUUCUUUACAAGUUCGUGGACUUUUUUGAAAUCAUGGAUAUUUUUAAAAAUCAUGCACAAUUUUUAGUUCCUGAACAUUUUUUUACAAAUUCAUGAACAUUCUCUUAAACCGUGAACUUUUUUGAAUUCCCAAAUACUUUUUCUGAAGUCAUGAUUGUUUUCAAAAUUUUGCAACUUUUUAAAUAUCCCGAAUUACAGAAAAAGUAGGAAUAAACCAAAAGAAAAAAAAGGAAAAAACAAGGGGCAUCCCUGCGCGCACAUGGGCCGCCCUUGUAAGAUACAUCUAUCUUUGGUUGAUGAAGGAGGGUUGUGCCGGAGGCUGCAUCGAUGCAGAGAGCGGUGGAGAUGAAUUGGCCCGUCCGUUAGGGGUCUGCAACAGUAUCAAAUCAUCUUUUAUUGCUGGCUAUGGCGAGCUUGCUCCCGUCACUCUGCAGUCGCCGCCGCCGUUGUUCCAGAGUUAGCUCCGGCAGUCGCCGCCAACAUUGCCCUAGACCUUGCUCCGACAGUCGUUGCUGCUGCGGAGCUAAUUCCGCGGUGCCUACCGACGUUCCCGCGGAGCCGGCGCUCCCUGCCUGACUAGGACAACAAGCCCCCUGCUCGUCGCCGCCUCAAAACGUCGGCCGGUGGGAGCUCCAGCUGCGGCGGCGCUCACACCAGAGGCCAGGCUCAUGUUCCCUGCAACCGGUGCCUCGCCCGUCCCGUGUGGUUCCGGCCGUCCGGCGGCGGCAUGUACCCUUCUCCUCUAGCAGGUAGGAGAGACGGGAUGAUGGGAUACGAGAAAAAUUCAGACGUGAUGGGAGUGUUUCCGGCCAAAAUCGAGUGUAAUCUCAAAACCUAAAACCUCCGAAGUGCACGCGCACUAAACGGAGAGAACGAGCGACCGGCUCUCCACCGCACGAUCCCGUCGCGAUCGUAUCGCGCAAGCACCAGGUGCCGCCUGGUCCAUUUCCUCCCAUCGCGUGGUCGUGGGCGGUUUGUCCUUAUCCGACCCAGCGCGGGACCCACAUGUAAGUGGCUAGAGGGAGAUCGUGGGCGGCGGUUUCAAAACGCGAGCCGUUCUCUCCCCCAUUUCCUCCGCUGGUCGUGGCAUUCCUGUUCCUCUCCUCCCUUUCCGCUCUCGCUCUCGCCCCGCAACUGCGGCGUUGUCGCGCCGCGGCUCUCAAAUCACCGGCGGAUUCGUUGCUGGACCGCGGGGGGAUUCGCUGCUGGCCCUUGCCGGCGUUGCAGGUACCUACUACUGUCCUCCCUUUCUUUGUCUUGUCGCCGGGGGGUCUAGGUCGUGUCGAGGUCGUCGGUGGCGGAAAUGGCGAGCUGGGAUUCCUAGGGUUCCUAUGGCAUCAACUGCCUCGUAUGGUCGAUUUGGUGUAGAGGUAUCGUGUGUGCUUCCGUUCGACUCUCCUGUCCUUGGAUUUUGUGCGGCAGCAAGGGACAGUGGUGGUGGGGUUUCAUGGUGGGAGGGUGCGUUGGUGUUGGUGGAGUGGUUGUUGGGAUUUGCGGUCGACGCAGACGUCCCCGACGGCCUUUUGUUGUCCCUCCUCUCUCUGUCUCGUCGCCGGGGGUGAGGCCGUGUCCAGGUUGACGGUGGCGGAUGUGGCGGGCUGCAUAGGGUCCCUUGACGUGUUUGCUUCGAUUCGACCUUCAUAUGCUUCGAUUUUGUGCAAAUUAGAAGCAAUUGUAGACAAUUUUUGAGAUAAUAUAGCCAAUCUGCCAGCCUUGUGGUGGAUCUCCUGGUUCAUGCGUUCUCCCUUGUUGUGUGCAACUAGGGACCAUUACCUGUGCAAAUUAGUACCUAUGCUUGCCAAUUUCCCAAUAUACUCUAUCCAAGCUGCCAGUCUUUGUGAUGGAUCUGGUGGUUUGUGUGUUUUCCCCCUGCUGUGUGCAACUAGGGACCCUUGUUUGUGUAAUUUAGCACCAAUGCUUGCCGGUUUUCUAAUAUAGUCAACCCAAUCUGCCAGCCUUGUGGUGGAUGUGGUGGUUCACGUGUUUUCUCCUGCUGUGUGCAAAUAGGGACCAUCACUUGUGCAAAUUAGUACCACUGGUUGCCAAUUUUCCAAUAUAGUGUACUGAUUUUUCUGCCAGCUUUUGUGCUGGAUCUGGUCCUUCGUGUGUUUUUCCCGUGCCGUGUGCAACUAGGGCCCCUUGAUCGUGCAAAGCAGUAUCAAUGCUUGCCAAUUUUUCAAUAUAGUCUACCCAAUCUGCCAGUCUUGUUGUGGAUGUGGUUGUUCAUGUCUUUUCCCCUACUGUGUGCAACUAGGGACCCUUAUUUAUGCAAAUUAGUACCAAUGUUUGCCAAUUUCCAAUAUAGUAUACCCAAUCUGCCAGUCUUGUUGUGGAUGUGGUUGUUCAUGUGUUUUCCCCUGAUGUGUGCAACUAGGGACCCUUAUUUGUACAAAUUAGUACCAAUGCUUGUUGAUUUUCCAAUAUAGUAUACCCAAUUUGUUUUGCUGGAUAUAUUCUUGUUGGCUAUGCAUGUUUUGUUUGUCCCAGUUGCACAAGUUAUCAUACUCAGCUGGUUGCCUUUAGUUCACUAUUUUCUGCCUAGUUAUUACUUGCCACAGUUAAACUUAGUUGGCUUAUAAGCUGUCUAGUGGCACAAGGUUGACUGCCCAGUUGGCUGCAUCAUUGUAGUAGUUGGCUGUCCACAUGUUUUACAGUUUUUUGCACUAGGUGUCCUGCUUAUGUGUAGAGGUCUGCAGAUCAAAGCAACCUUUUAUGAUUUCUCUAGUUUGUUUGCACAUCUUCUAACUAUGUUUUCUUUUGUUGAAUUUCCCCCCGCAGGGCAAAAAUGGUUAUAAUAGGAGGAGAUGCGGAUGGCAAUGAAGAAGGUGUAUUUUUUUCACUUUUUUGUGUGUUUUGAGUUGUUUCCAACUUAUCCAUGUAUGCUAAUGUCCCUUUUUCAUGUUUUUUGUUGCUUAAUCAGCGUUCUGGAAGUCAGUCCCUUCGUCGGAACUUGAAGCUGAUGGGGAACGUAGUAAUUUCAAAAUUUUCCUACACACGCGCAAGAUCAUGGUGAUGCAUAGAAACGAGAGGGGAGAGUGUUGUCUACGUACCCUCGUAGACCGUAAGUGGAAGCGUUAUGACAACGCGGUUGAUGUAGUCGUACGUCUUCACGAUCGACCGAUCUUAGUACCGAACGUACGCCACCUCCGUGAUCUGCACACAUUCAGCUCGGUGACGUCCCACAAACUCACGAUCCAGCAGAGUGUCGAGGGAGAGUUUCGUCAUCACGACGGCGUGAUGACGGUGAUGAUGAAGCUACCGACACAGGGCUUCGCCUAAGCACUGCAACGAUAUGACCAAAGUGGAAUAUGGUGGAGGGGGCACCGCACACGGCUUGGAACAAUCAACUUGUGUGUCCUAGGGUGCCCCCCUGCCCCGUAUAUAAAGGAGCAAGGGGGGAGGCCGGCUGGCCUUGGGGCGCGCCAAGGAGAGGGGGAAGUCCUCCUCCUAGUGGGAGUAGGACUCCCCUUUCCUAGUCCAACUAGGAAGGAGGAAGGGGAAAGGAAGGAAAGGGAGAGAGGGAGGAAAGAGGAGGCGCCGCCCCCCCUCCUUGUCCAAUUCGGACUCCCAAGGGGGGGGGCAGCCCUAGGCCCUCUGCUCUCUCUCCCACAAGGCCCAUGUUGGCCCAUUAGUUUCCCCGGGGGUUCCGAUAACCCCCCAACACUCCGAUAAAUAUCCGGUGACCCCCGGAACUCAUCCGGUGUCCGAAUAUAGUUGUCCAAUAUAUCAAUCUUUAUGUCUCGACCAUUUCGAGACUCCUCGUCAUGUCCGUGAUCACAUCCGGGACUCCGAACUAUGUUCGGUACAUCAAAACACAUAAACUCAUAAUAUCGAUCGUCACCGAACGUUAAGCGUGCGGACCCUACGGGUUCGAGAACUAUGUAGACAUGACCGAGAGAUGUCUCCGGUCAAUAACCAAUAGCGGAAUGUGGAUCCUCAUAUUGGUUCCUACAUAUUCUACGAAGAUCUUUAUCGGUCAAACCGCAUAACAUACGUUGUUCCCUUUGUCAUCGGUAUGUUACUUGCCCGAGAUUCGAUCGUCGAUAUCCUCAUACCUAGUUCAAUCUCAUUACCGGCAAGUCUCUUUACUCUUUCCGUAAUGCAUCGUCCCGCAACUAACUCAUUAGUCACAAUGCUUGCAAGGCUUAUAGUGAUGUGCAUUACCGAGAGGGCCCAGAGAUACCUCUCCGAUAAUCGGAGUGGCAAAUCCUAAUCUCGAUCUAUGCCAACUCAACAAACACCAUUGGAGACACCUGUAGAGCACCUUUAUAAUCACCCAGUUACGUUGUGACGUUUGCUAGCACACAAAGUGUUCCUCCGGUAUUCGGGAGUUGCAUAAUCUCAUAGUCAUAGGAACAUGUAUAAGUCAUGAAGAAAGCAAUAGCAACAUACUAAACGAUCAAGUGCUAAGCUAACGAAAUGGGUCAAGUCAAUCACAUCAUUCUCCAAUGAUGUGAUCUCGUUAAUCAAAUGACAACUCAUGUCUAUGGCUAGGAAACUUAAUCAUCUUUGAUUCAACGAGCUAGUCAAGUAGAGGCAUACUAGUGACACUCUGUUUGUCUAUGUAUUCACACAUGUACUAAGUUUCCGGUUAAUACAAUUCUAGCAUGAAUAAUAAACAUUUAUCAUGAAAUAAGGAAAUAAAUAAUAACUUUAUUAUUGCCUCUAGGGCAUAUUUCCUUCAGUCUCCCACUUGCACUAGAGUCAAUAAUCUAGAUCACAUCACCAUGUGAUUAACAUCAAUAGUUCACAUCACCCUGUGAUUUACACCCAUAGUUCACAUCGCCAUGUGACCAACACCCAAAGGGUUUACUAGAGUCAACAAUCUAGUUCACAUCUCUAUGUGAUUAACACCCAAAGAGUACCUAGGUGUGAUCAUGUUUUGCUUGUGAGAGAAGUUUUAGUAUACGGGUCUCCCACAUUCAGAUCCGUAAGUAUUUUGCAAAUUUCUAUGUCUACAAUGCUCUGCACAGAGCUACUCUAAAUAAUUGCUCGCACUUUCAAUAUGUAUCCAGAUUGAGACGCAAAGUCAUCUGGAUCGGUGUAAAAGCUUGCAUCGACGUAACUCUUUACGACGAACUCUUUGUCACCUCCAUAACCGAGAAAUAUUUCCUUAGUCUUCUAAGGAUAAUUUUGACCGCUGUCCUGUGAUCUACUCCUAGAUCACUAUUGUACUCCCUUGCCAAACUUAUGGUGAGGUACAUAAUAGGUCUAGUACACAGCAUAGCAUACUUUAUAGAACCUAUGGCCGAGGCAUAGGGAAUGACUUUCAUUCUCUUUUUUUUUCUGCCGUGAUCGGGUUUUGAGUCUUACUCAAUUUCACACCUUGCAACACAGGCAAGAACUCUUUCUUUGACUGUUCCAUUUUGAACUACUUCAAAAUCUUGUCAAGGUAUGUACUCAUUGAAAAAUCUUAUCAAGCGUCUUGAUCUAUCUCUAUAGAUCUUGAUGCUCAAUAUGUUAGCAGCUUCACCGAGGUCUUUCUUUGAAAAACUUCUUUCAAACACUCCUUUAUGCUUUCCAGAAAAUUCUACAUCAUUUUCGAUCAACAAUAUGUCACUCACAUAUACUUAUCAGAAAGGCUGUAGUGCUCCCACUCACUUUCUUGUAAAUACAGGCUUCACUGCAAGUCUGUAUAAAACUAUAUGCUUUGGUCAACUCAUCAAAGCGUAUAUUCCAACUCCGAGAUGCUUGUACCAGUCCAUCGAUGGAUCGCUGGAGCUUGCACAUUUUGUUAGCACCUUUAGGAUUGACAAAACCUUCUUGUUGUAUCAUAUACAACUCUACUUUUAAGAAAUCCAUUAAGGAAUGCAGUUUUGACAUCCAUUUGCCAUAUUUCAUAAAAUGUGGCAAUUGCCAACAUGAUUCGGACAGACUUAAGCAUCGCUACGAGUGAGAAAAUCUCAUCGUAGUCAACACCUUGAACUUGUCGAAAACCUUUUUGCGACAAUUCGAGCUUUGUAGAUAGUAACACUACUAUCAGCGCCCGUCUUCCUCUUGAAGAUCCAUUUAUUCUUAAUGGCUUGCCGAUCAUCGGGCAAGUCAACCAAAGUCCAUACUUUGUUCUCAUACAUGGAUCCCAUAGGAGAUUUUAUGGCCUCAAGCCAUUUUGCGGAAUCUGGGCUCAUCAUCGCUUCCUCAUAGUUCGUAGGUUCGUUAUGGUUUAGUAACAUGACUUCCAGAACCGGAUUACCGUACCACUCUGGUGCGGAACGUACUCUGGUUGACCUACGAGGUUCGGUAGUAACUUGAUCUGAAGUUUCAUGAUCAUCAUCCUUAACUUCCUCACUAAUUGGUGUAGGCAUCACUGGAACUGAUUUCUGUGAUGAACUACUUUCCAAUUCGGGAGAAGGUACAGUUACCUCGUCAAGUUCUACUUCCCUCCCACUCACUUCUUUUGAGAGAAACUCCUUCUCUAGAAAGGAUCCAUUCUUAGCAACGAAUAUCUUGCCUUCGGAUCUAUGAUAGAAGGUGUACCCAACAGUUUCCUUUGGGUAUCCUAUGAAGAUGCAUUUCUCCGAUUUGGGUUUGAGCUUUAUCAGGUUGAAACUUUUUCACAUAAGCAUCGCAACCCCAAACUUUAAGAAACGACAGCUUAGGUUUCUUGCCAAACCAUAGUUCAUACGGUGUCAUCUCACCGGAUUUAGAUGGUUCCCUAUUUAACGUGAAUGUAGCUGUCUCUAAUGCAUAACCCCAAAAACGAUAGUGGUAAAUCGGUAAGAGACAUCAUAGAUUGCACUAUAUCCAAUAAAGUACGGUUAUGACGUUCGGCCACACCAUUAUGCCGUGGUGUUCUGGGUGGCAUGAGUUUGUGAAACUAUUCCACAUUGUUUUAAUUGAAGGCCAAACUCGUAACUAAAAUAUUUGCCUCCGCGAUCAGAUCGUAGAAACUUUAUUUUCUUGUUACAAUGAUUCUCCACUUCACUCUGAAAUUCUUUGAACUUUUCAACGGUUUCAGAUUUGUGUUUCAUUAAGUGGAUAUACCCAUAUCUGCUCAAAUCAUCCGUGAAGGUCAGAAAAUAACGAUACCGCCGCGAGCCUUAACACUCAUCGGACCGCAUACAUCGGUAUGUAUUAUUUCCAAUAAGUCAGUAGCUCGCUCCAUUGUUCCGGAGAACGGAGUUUUAGUCAUCUUGCCAUGAGGCAUGGUUUGCAAGUAUCAAAUGAUUCACAAUCAAGUGAUUCCAAAAGCCCAUCAGCAUGGAGUUUCUUCAUGCGCUUUACACCAAUAUGACCUAAACGGCAGUGCCACAAAUAAGUUGCACUAUCAUUAUUAACUUUGCAUCUUUUGGCUUCAAUAUUAUGAAUAUGUGUAUCACUACGAUCGAGAUCCAACAAACUAUUUUCAUUGGGUGUAUGACCAUCGAAGGUUUUAUUCAUGUAAACAGAACAACAAUUAUUCUCUGACUUUAAAUGAAUAAAUGUAUUGCAAUAAACAUGAUCAAAUCAUAUUCAUGCUCAACGUAAACACCAAAUAACAUUUAUUUAGGUUCAAUACUAAUCCCAAAGUAUAGGAAGUGUGCGAUGAUGAUCAUAUCAAUCUUUGGAACCACUUCCAACACACAUCGUCACUUCACCCUUAACUAGUCUCUGUUCAUUCUGCAACUCCCGUUUCGAGUUACUAAUCUUAGCAACUGAACUAGUAUCAAAUACUGAUGGGUUGCUAUAAACACUAGUAAAGUACACAUCAAUAACAUGUAUAUCAAAUAUACCUUUGUUCACUUUGCCAUCCUUCUUAUCCGCCAAAUACUUGGGGCAGUUCCGCUUCCAGUGACCAGUCCCUUUGCAGUAGAAGCACUUAGUCUCAGGAUUAGGUCCAGACUUGGGCUUCUUCACUUGAGCAGCAACUUGCUUGCCGUUCUUCUUGAAGUUCCCCUUCUUCCCUUUGCCCUUUUCUUGAAACUAGUGGUCUUGUCAACCAUCAACACUUGAUGCUUUUCUUGAUUUCUACCUUUGUCGAUUUCAACAUCACGAAGAGCUUGGGAAUCGUUUCCGUUAUCCCUUGCAUAUUAUAGUUCAUCACGAAGUUCUAGUAACUUGGUGAUAGUGACUAGAGAACUCUGUUAAUCACUGACACGUCUCCAACGUAUCUAUAAUUUUUGAUUGUUCCAUGCUAUUAUAUUAUCUGUUUUGUAUGUUUAAUGAGCUUUAUUAUGCACUUUUAUAUUAUUUUUGGGACUAACCUACUAACCAAAGGCCCAGUGCAAAUUGCUGUUUUUUUGCCUAUUUCAGUGUUUCGCAGAAAAGGAAUAUCAAACGGAAUGAAACCUUUGGAAGAAUUAUUUUUGGAACAAACGCAAUCCAGGAGACUUGGAGUGGACGUCAAGGAAGCAACGAGGCGGCCACGAGGUAGGGAGACGCGCCCCCCACCCUCGUGGGCCCCUCUUGGCUCCACCGACCUACUUCUUUCGCCUAUAUAUACUCAUAUACCCUGAAAACAUUCGAGAGCACCACAAAAUCCUAUUUCCACCACCGCAACCUUCUGUACCUGUGAGAUCCCAUCUUGGGGCCUUUUCUGGCGCUCCGUCGGAGGGGGAAUCGAUCACGGAGGGCUUCUACAUCAACACCAUAUAUAGCCUCUCCGAUGAUGUGUCAGUAGUUUACCACAGACUUUCGGGUCCAUAGUUAUUAGCUAGAUGGCUUCUUCUCUCUCUUUGGAUCUCAAUACAAAGUUCUCCUCGAUUCUCUUGGAGAUCUAUUUGAUGUAAUUCUUUUUGCAGUGUGUUUGUCGAGAUCCGAUGAAUUGUGGGUUUAUGAUCAAGAUUAUCUAUGAACAAUAUUUGGUUCUUCUCUGAAUUCUUAUAUGUAUGAUUUGAUAUCUUUGCAAGUCUCUUCGAAUUAUCAGUUUGGUUUGGCCUACUAGAUUGAUCUUUCUUGCAAUAGGAGAAGUGCUUAGCUUUGGGUUCAAUCCUGCGGUGUCCUUUCCCAGUGACAGCAGGGGCAGCAAGGCACGUAUUGUAUUGUUGCCAUCGAGGAUAAAAAUAUGGGGUUUAUAUCAUAUUGCUUGAGUUUAUCCCUCUACAUCAUGUCAUCUUGCCUAAUGCGUUACUCUGUUCUUAUGAACUUAAUACUCUAGAUGCAUGCUGGAUAGCGGUCGAUGUGUGGAGUAAUAGUAGUAGAUGCAGAAUCGUUUCGGUCUACUUGUCGCCGACGUGAUGCCUAUAUACAUGAUCAUGCCUAGAUAUUCUCAUAACUAUGCGCUUUUCUAUCAAUUGCUCGACAGUAAUUUGUUCACGCACCGUAGAUUAUGCUAUCUUGAGAGAAGCCACUAGUGAAACCUAUGGCCCCCGGGUCUAUCUUCCAUCAUAUUAUUUUCCUAUCAAUUUGCUAUUUCUGCCGCCGUUUAUUUUGCAAUCUUUACUUUCCAAUCUAUAUCAUAAAAAUACCAAAAAUAUUUAUCUUAUUAUCUCUAUCAGAUCUCACUUUUGCAAGUGGCCGUGAAGGGAUUGACAACCCCUUUAUCGCGUUGGUUGCAAGGUUCUUAUUUGUUUGUGCAGGUACAAGGCGACUUGCGUGUAACCUCCCACUGGAUUGAUACCUUGGUUCUCAAAAACUGAGGGAAAUACUUACGCUACUUUGCUGCAUCACCCUUUCCUCUUCAAGGGAAAACCAACGCAUGCUCAAGAGGUAGCAAGAAGGAUUUUUGGCGCCGUUGCCGGGGAGGCUUACGCCAAGUCAAGUCAAGAUUUGAUCUCCCAGCAACUAGCCAUUUCUGGCACCGUUGCCGGGGAGAUCUACGCACAAGUCAAGACAUACCAAGUACCCAUCACAAACUCUUAUCCCUCGCAUUACAUUAUUUGCCAUUUGCCUCUCGUUUUCCUCUCCCCCACUUCACCUUUGCCGUUUUAUUCGCCCUCUUUUUUCGUUCGUCUCUUUUCGCUUGCUUUUUGUGUGCUCGUUCUUUGUGCAAUUUGCCGCCAUCAUGCCUGAAACUGGGGAGGUUAUCGUUGAUAAGGAUAGUAGUAAUAACAUGGAAAACUUUGAUGCUUUUGAUGAUCCUCAUGAAGAACCUACAUUUUACACACUAAAAUGUUACAGAUUGGUACCGGUAAUAUUAUUGGAAAAGGAGUUAUUCAAGAUUUCUUUACUUGUGCCGGUGCCCUGCCCUCUAUGGGUGGGUCUAUUCUUCAUAGAACUAGUAGUCUUGCGGAUGCUAUAUCCUUGCUCGUAGUUGAACUAGAAAGACAAUUUAUUCAUAUGCAUCCUUGCAUACAAAUGAUUUUUCUAGAGUUUUCCAAUAUCGAGCAUUCUUCUGUUAAGCGUGCAGCUACUAUCUUUUUGGCACAUGAGUUCAGAUUUAUAAUAAAAGAGGCCAAUGAAAUUUUUGCGCAUUAUAGGGUGGACGCUGGCCGUCCUCCCAUAGAAGCUAUCCUUUUUAAUCAAGAAGACUUAAUGCGUUUACGGUCUUUAGAUCAUGUUGCUUAUAAUGAAAACCUUAGAAAAAAGGUUCCUACCGACGCUCUAGUCGACAGAAUCUCUGAACUCAAUGAUGAUUUUGCUAUUGAGAACAAUGGGUUAGGUUUUUCUCUUGAACAAAGGCUCAUGACUUCUUUUCCAAAAGAAUGCUUAUAAUGAUGAAUUGGUUGUGCAAUAUAAGGGGCCAAAGGAGGAACCCAUACCUCCCGAGCUUGAUCUUGGGGACUUUUGUCCCAUUAAAUUUAGCCCUUUUGAUUUGCUUGCCACAAAGAAAACUUGCUGCUGAACGUAGGGAAUAUGAGAUGAGUUUUCGCGAUUUGCCUUACUAUUAUUAUGAUAAUACCUAGAUCUAUUCUUGCCUUUAUGCCUAGCUAGGGGCGUUAAACGAUAGCGCUUGUUGGGAGGCAACCCAAUUUUAUUUUUGUUCCUUGCAUUUUGUUCCUGUUUAGUAAUAAAUAACUCAUCUAGACUCUGGUUAGAUGUGGUUUUAUGUUUUAAUUAGUGUUUGUGCCAAGUAGAACCUUUGGGAAGACUUGGGUGAAGUCUUUGAGAUCUUGCUGUAAAAAACAGAAACUUUUGCGCUCACGAGAUUAGCUGCCAUUUUUUAAUGGAGAGUGAUUUUAGGUUGAUUAUUUUUGCAGAUGAUUAAUAGACAAAUUGCUCACGUCCACCAAUUUAUUUCAGAAUUUUUAGUGUUACAUAAGUAUACAUUUGAUACAGAUUACUACAGACUAUUCUGUUUUUGACAGAUUCUGUUUUUGUGUGUUGUUUGCUUAUUUUGAUGAAUCUAUGGCUAGUAUCGNNNNNNNNNNNNNNNNNNNNNNNNNNNNNNNNNNNNNNNNNNNNNNNNNNNNNNNNNNNNNNNNNNNNNNNNNNNNNNNNNNNNNNNNNNNNNNNNNNNNNNNNNNNNNNNNNNNNNNNNNNNNNNNNNNNNNNNNNNNNNNNNNAAGUUGGAAUACAGUAGGUUUAACACCAAUAUAAAUAAAGAAUGAGUUCUUUACAGUACCUUAAAGUGGUGAUUUGUUUUCUUAUACUAACGGAGCUCAUGAGAUUUUCUGUUGAGUUUUGUGUUGUGAAGUUUUCAAGUUUUGGGUAAAUAUUUGAUGGAUUAUGGAAUAAGGAGUGGCAAGAGCCUAAGCUUGUGGAUUCCCAAGGCACCCCAAGGUAAAAUUCAAGGACAACCAAAAGCCUAAGCUUGGGGAUGCCCCGGAAGGCAUCCCCUCUUUUGUCUUCGUCUAUCGGUAACUUUACUUGAGGCUAUAUUUUUAUUCACCACAUGAUAUGCGUUUUGCUUGGAGCGUCUUGUAUGAUUUGAGUCUUUGCUUUUUAGUUUACCACAAUCAUCCUUGCUGACCUUUUGGAGAGACACACAUGAAUCGGAAUUUAUUAGAAUACUCUAUGUGCUUCACUUAUAUCUUUUGAGCUAGAUAAUUUUGCUCUAGUGCUUCACUUAUAUCUUUUAGAGCACGGUGGUGGUUUUAUUUUAUAGAAAUUAUUGAUCUCUCAUGCUUCACUUAUAUUACUUUGAGAGUCCUUUAGAACAGCAUGGUCAUUUGCUUUGGUUAUAAAAUUAGUCCUAAUAUGAUGAACAUCCAAGAUGGGUAUAAUAAAAACUUUCAUAUAAAGUGCAUCGAAUACUAUGAGAAGUUUGAUACUUGAUAAUUGUUUUGAGAUAUGAAGAUGGUGAUAUUAGAGUCAUGCUAGUUGAGUAGUUGUGAAUUUGAGAAAUACUUGUUCUAAAGUUUGUGAUUCCCAUAGCAUGCACGUAUGGUGAACCGUUAUGUGAUGAAGUCGGAGAUGAUUUAUUUAUUGAUUGUCUUCCUUAUGAGUGGCGGUCGGGGAAGAGCAAUGGUCUUUUCCUACCAAUGUACCCCCCUAGGAGCAUGCGCGUAGUACUUCGUUUCGAUAACUAAUAGAUUUUUGCAAUAAGUAUGUGAGUUCUUUAUGACUAAUGUUGAGUCCAUGGAUUAUACGCACUCUCACCCUUCCAUCAUUGCUAGCCUCUCUAAUACCGUGCACCUUUCGCCGGUAUCAUACACCCACCAUAUACCUUCCUCAAAACAGCCACCAUACCUACCUAUUAUGGCAUUUUCAUAGCCAUUCCGAGAUACAUUGCCAUGCAACUUUCCACCGUUCCGUUUAUUAUGACACGCUCCAUCAUUGUCAUAUUGCUUUGCAUGAUCAUGUAGUUGACAUCGUAUUUGUGGCAAAGCCACCUUUAUAAUUCUUUCAUACAUGUCACUCUUGAUUCAUUGCAUAUCCCGGUACACCGCCGGAGGCAUUCACACAGAGUCAUAUUUUGUUCUAAGUAUUGAGUUCUAAUUUUUGAGUUGUAAGUAAACAAAAGUGUGAUGAUCAUCAUUAUUAGAGCAUUGUCCCAAGUGAGGAAAGGAUGAUGGAGACUGUGAUUCCCCCACAAGUCGGGAUGAGACUCUGGACGAAAAGAAAAAAAAAGAAAAAAAA